RNAcentral lists this ribosomal RNA (800 nucleotides) under Streptomyces sp. SS4. RNAcentral describes it as "bacterial SSU rRNA". It matches the Rfam family "Bacterial small subunit ribosomal RNA", at positions 43 to 854 of the family's 1533-position model. Lineage: Bacteria; Bacillati; Actinomycetota; Actinomycetes; Kitasatosporales; Streptomycetaceae. The record is from RNAcentral.
CCUGACGUAACAAAUGCAAGUCGAGCGAUACAACCUCCUAUCGGGAGGGGAUUAGUGGCCAACGGGUGAGUAACACGUGGGCAAUCUGCCCUGCACUCUGAGACAAGCCCUGGAAACGGGGUCUAAUACCGGAUACGACUCUGACCGCAUGGUCUCUGGGUGGAAAGCUCCGGCGGUGCAGGAUGAGCCCGCGGCCUAUCAGCUUGUUGGUGAGGUAACGGCUCACCAAGGCGACAACAGGUAGCCGGCCUGAGAGGGCGACCGGCCACACUGGGACUGAGACACGGCCCAGACUCCUACGGGAGGCAGCAGUGGGGAAUAUUGCACAAUGGGCGCAAGCCUGAUGCAGCGACGCCGCGUGAGGGAUGACGGCCUUCGGGUUGUAAACCUCUUUCAGCAGGGAAGAAGCGAGAGUGACGGUACCUGCAGAAGAAGCGCCGGCUAACUACGUGCCAGCAGCCGCGGUAAUACGUAGGGCGCAAGCGUUGUCCGGAAUUAUUGGGCGUAAAGAGCUCGUAGGCGGCUUGUCGCGUCGGUUGUGAAAGCCCGGGGCUUAACCCCGGGUCUGCAGUCGAUACGGGCAGGCUAGAGUUCGGUAGGGGAGAUCGGAAUUCCUGGUGUAGCGCUGAAAUGCGCAGAUAUCAUGAGGAACACCGGUGGCGAAGGCGGAUCUCUGGGCCGAUACUGACUCUCAGGAGCGAAAGCGUGGGGAGCGAACAGGAUUAGAUACCCUGGUAGUCCACGCCGUAACGGUGGGCACUAGGUGUGGGCAACACUCCACGUUGUCCGUGCCGCACUAC